This 429-nucleotide ribosomal RNA is filed under the name Bacteroidota bacterium. Its description in RNAcentral is "Bacteroidetes bacterium partial 16S ribosomal RNA". It matches the Rfam family "Bacterial small subunit ribosomal RNA", at positions 355 to 776 of the family's 1533-position model. RNAcentral also lists the same sequence under 1 other name. The record is from RNAcentral. Lineage: Bacteria; Pseudomonadati; Bacteroidota.
UAGGGAAUCUUCGGCAAUGGGGGGAACCCUGACCGAGCAACGCCGCGUGAGUGAAGAAGGUUUUCGGAUCGUAAAGCUCUGUUGUUAAGGAAGAACGAGUGUGAGAAUGGAAAGUUCAUGCUGUGACGGUACUUAACCAGAAAGGGACGGCUAACUACGUGCCAGCAGCCGCGGUAAUACGUAGGUCCCGAGCGUUGUCCGGAUUUAUUGGGCGUAAAGCGAGCGCAGGCGGUUAGAAAAGUCUGAAGUGAAAGGCAGUGGCUCAACCAUUGUAGGCUUUGGAAACUGUUUAACUUGAGUGCAGAAGGGGAGAGUGGAAUUCCAUGUGUAGCGGUGAAAUGCGUAGAUAUAUGGAGGAACACCGGUGGCGAAGGCGGCUCUCUGGUCUGUAACUGACGCUGAGGCUCGAAAGCGUGGGGAGCGAACAGG